GAGCUGGAAGGGAACCCAGCGACUGAUUCCGAAAGGGACAAAAGCCUCCCAUGGAGGAGAGACGGCAAAGCUCCCGAUUCCGUGUCAGGCUGUGUCCUUGAGGAAGGCUGACGCGUCCUUCGAGAUGCCAAGAGGCCAAAGUUCUUCCGAAGCAGGAGGCCUUCACACUGUGUGUCUCCCAGAUUGCGUGGUACCAAGCUGGCAGGGUCCUCAGGGGGCCCCAGCAGAGAGAGGCCCCCAAGGAGGGGCUGUGCUGGUCGGGGUGGGGAGCCCUGCGGACAAGCCCACAGGGUGCCGUGCGGGGCGCCCUUGGCCUCACCGGAGCAGCCCGCCCUCCACCCAGGGGUGUACCCGCAAGUUCCCAAGAAUGACGCGAGUCGAGCAAGGGCUUCUGUCUAGGAUUCUCUUUUACAGAGAAGAAGACAAAGAUCCCCCAGGAUCAGCCUCACCCUCCUGGAGAAGAGCCAAGACUCAGCCCUUUCCACCCGGCCAUGCGGUUCCCGGGAUGACAGCGACCUGGGCCCGGGAGCACAGAGGCGGGCACAGCGCCCGAGGUCUCGGGGGACACUCAGGCCAAGGGGGGGCAAAGGUGGUUGGGGGGGGUCUGUUUUACUUUUUCUCUGCUUAUUCCUCUUUCUAUUCCUGGCAACAGGGUCGGUGGGAUCCUGGUCCCCCAAAGAUGCCCACACCCGCAUUCUCUGGAGCCUGUGGCCAUGUCCAGGGGCAAGGGAGACCUUUCAGAGGGGUUGAGGUUAACAGAGGAUGACCCCAAGCCAGCGGGGCGGGGGAUCUCACCUCCUGGGCCCUUUAAAGUAGAAAUGUCCCCUGCAUGGAGGCAGGAAAGCUGGAGACAUUUGAAGCAUGCGAGGCAUGUGACUGGCUGUCCUGGUGGCAGGGGCGCACAGGGACAGCAGGAGGUGUCCCUGCAGGGGCGUGGUCAGCCCUGGGCCAACAGCCUGCAGGAACCGGGACCUCAGUCCUACAACCUGAGGAUCUGAACUCCGCUAGCAACAGGGGUGGGCUUGGAAGUGGUUCGUGUUAAGAGCCCCCAGAGCGGGGGCAGCCCUGUGAAGAUUUUGAUUUCGGCUGGUGAGCCUCUGGGCCGAGGACCUGGUCCAGCCACUGGCCCUGGACUUCUGACCACAGAACGUCGGGAAGAUACAUUGGGUGGUCUUAAGCUGCCAAGUCUGCAAUAUCAGAUGUUAUCACAGCAGCGAUAGGAACGAGUUCAGAUACGAUUUAUGUUUAUUUUACUUCUCAGGAAGUAUGUCUGAAUGAUACGUAAUGAAAGGAACUCAGUAGAUGCUACAGGGACCAGAGAGGCCCCAUUACAACAUCCAGCCUGAGAGCUCCCUGGUGGCCUAGUGGGUUAAGGAUCCAGGGUUGUCACGGCUGUGGCUUGGGUCACUGCCAUAGCAUGGGUUCGAUCCCUGGGCCAAGGAACUUCCACAUACUGAGGGCGCGGCUAAAAAAAGAAAAAAUAUAUAUAUCCAGGUUGAGCCUUGCCUCCUGAAAAACCAAGCAGUAAAAGAGAAUUCACUUUUCCGGGAGGAAGGAAGCCAUGGUCAUUGCAAGAACUUACAGAGAAGAGAAUGCCUAGAAGUUAAUCUUUUUAAAUUAAGCACUUCCGUACAGAAAUGUGGGGGCAAGAUGAGCAAACUCCCCUUCAUGCUGGUGACAGUGACAAGAACAGCAGGACAUAUUCACACAGCGCCCGGGCAUAAGGCACAGGAAGUUCCCGUCAUGGCGCAGUGGAAAUGAAUCUGACGAGCAUCCAGGGGGACGCAGGUUCCGUCCCUGGCCUUGCUCAGUGGGUUAAGGAUCUGGUGUUGCAUUGCAGACGCAGUGGUGGUGUACCUUGGUGUACAUUGCAGACGCAGCUCGGAUCCCAUGUUCCUGUGUCUGUGGUGCAGGCUGGCAGCUACAGCUCUGCUUAGAUCCCUAGCCUGGGAACUUUCAUAUGCUGUGGCUGCGGCCCUAAAAAGACCAAAAAAAAAAAAAAAAUUCUAUAACUUCACAAGGGUGUCCCCGGGCCUCAGAGAGAGCCAGGCAGGUCCCCACAUCACAAACAUGGAUUGAAACCCUUCCAGGCUGGUGGCGCCUGCGUGCAGCACAGUCUCAGUCUUGGGGCAGUGGAGAAUCCCCGGUGACAGGGUCCUGGGCAGCCCCUCUCCUCACUGCUUCCCAGCCUCCCUUCACACCCCAACUUCUUCCAGCUGCUGAGGGAACUUCAGUGGCUCCCCAAGGGCGCCCCCUCCCCAGGCCCAGGUGCUCACACCCCCCUGGGGCUUCGAACCCAGGUCAGCCCAGCCACCCCUUCCUGCCCAGGGCCUUCUCCUGUCCUGCUGGCCUCCCUCCUCCAAAGCGGUUCCCAGUGGCACCAGGCGCUUCCCCACCGAGCACGUCCCACACCGUGAAACUCGCACCACACCCGCCCUGGGGCCCUUCUGCCUCCCAGCCCACCAACCUCUGCUGGCUCCUUGGGAGGCUCUCCCUUUGCCUCUGGGGCACCGGCCGGGUGCUGGACCGGCAGCAGGAGCUGCUCACUGUCACACAAGGGGAUGGUCACCUUGGAACAAAAACGCUGAGGCAGGCCCCUCCCGCCUCUCCAGCCACAAGUCGCUGUAGAAACCUGCAAGGACACCAACUCCGACACCCACACCUGCUGCCUGUGGUCACACAUUCACUCUGUGGUCACUUGCCAGUGCUCAGACAUCCGCUUUGCAGUGAGGACGAGGUUAAAAGUGGCUCCGGAGGCUGCAGGGCUUAUAGCCCGUGUCUGUAGGGAGGUGCGCGUGGACAGGACAAGGGCUUCUAGGAGGAGGGAGAGGCCCGCCCGUGGCCUGAGGCAGCUCAGCAUCCUCUUCCCCGAAUGUUUCCAAGCCCGGUCUUGCAAGAGCAGGGCGAGAUUGCCUGUCCUGCCCCCUGCGGCUGGGCCAGGUCUUGGACCAGCCCUGGUCAGGAGCUCUGAGCAGAGCCGCUGAGCCUUUUCUGGGCUGAGGUUUAAGAGGCGGGACCAGACCUCCCGAAGAGCCUUCUUGUCUUGUGCACAAGAAUCAGCAACUUUCAGGAUUCUAGUUCCCAUCAAACUGGUCCUCGGGAGAUUGCGAUGAGCUCAGCUUAGCAGGUGACCCUGGAUGGAGAUUCAGGAUGAGAAGGAAAUAACUCUACUUUUAAACUGCUGACAUUUCAGGAUUGUUUGUCAAU
RNAcentral lists this long non-coding RNA (3207 nucleotides) under Sus scrofa (pig). RNAcentral's name for it is "lncRNA (ENSSSCG00000055743.1)". The record is from RNAcentral. Lineage: Eukaryota; Metazoa; Chordata; Mammalia; Artiodactyla; Suidae.